CGGUAGAGUAGCAAUACUCGAGAGUGGCGAACGGGUGAGUAAUAUAUCGGAACGUGCCCAGUCGUGGGGGAUAACGUAGAGAAAUUUACGCUAAUACCGCAUACGAUCUAAGGAUGAAAGCGGGGGAUUCGCAAGAACCUCGCGCGAUUGGAGCGGCUGAUAUCAGAUUAGGUUGUUGGUGAGGUAAAAGCUCACCAAGCCGACGAUCUGUAGCUGGUUUGAGAGAACGACCAGCCACACUGGGACUGAGACACGGCCCAGACUCCUACGGGAGGCAGCAGUGGGGAAUUUUGGACAAUGGGCGAAAGCCUGAUCCAGCAAUGCCGCGUGCAGGAAGAAGGCCUUCGGGUUGUAAACUGCUUUUGUACGGAACGAAAAGGCUCUUUCUAAUAAAGGGGGCCCAUGACGGUACCGUAAGAAUAAGCACCGGCUAACUACGUGCC
This 443-nucleotide ribosomal RNA is filed under the name bacterium 1WB. RNAcentral describes it as "bacterial SSU rRNA". It matches the Rfam family "Bacterial small subunit ribosomal RNA", at positions 67 to 509 of the family's 1533-position model. The record is from RNAcentral.